GAUGAACGCUGGCGGCGUGCCUAAUACAUGCAAGUAGAACGCUGAAGGAGGAGCUUGCUCUUCUGGAUGAGUUGCGAACGGGUGAGUAACGCGUAGGUAACCUGCCUGGUAGCGGGGGAUAACUAUUGGAAACGAUAGCUAAUACCGCAUGACAACAGUUAUUGCAUGAUAACUGUUUAAAAGGGGCAACUGCUCCACUACCAGAUGGACCUGCGUUGUAUUAGCUAGUUGGUGAGGUAACGGCUCACCAAGGCGACGAUACAUAGCCGACCUGAGAGGGUGAUCGGCCACACUGGGAAUGAGACACGGCCCAGACCCCUACGGGAGGCAGGAGUGGGGAAUUUUCGGCAAAGGACGGAAGUCUGACCGGACAAGGCCGGGGGGGUGAAGAAGGGUUUCGGAUCGUAAAGCUCUGUUGUAAGAAAAAAACGGGUGGGGGAGGGGAAAGUUCACACUGUGGCGGUAUUUUCCCAAAAAGGGGCGGCUAACUACGU
RNAcentral lists this ribosomal RNA (494 nucleotides) under uncultured bacterium. Its description in RNAcentral is "partial 16S ribosomal RNA". It matches the Rfam family "Bacterial small subunit ribosomal RNA", at positions 28 to 506 of the family's 1533-position model. The record is from RNAcentral.